AGUGAACGCUGGCGGUAGGCCUAACACAUGCAAGUCGAACGGCAGCACAGUAAGAGCUUGCUCUUACGGGUGGCGAGUGGCGGACGGGUGAGGAAUACAUCGGAAUCUACUUUUUCGUGGGGGAUAACGUAGGGAAACUUACGCUAAUACCGCAUACGACCUACGGGUGAAAGCAGGGGAUCUUCGGACCUUGCGCGAUUGAAUGAGCCGAUGUCGGAUUAGCUAGUUGGCGGGGUAAAGGCCCACCAAGGCGACGAUCCGUAGCUGGUCUGAGAGGAUGGUCAGCCAAACUGGAACGUAGACACGGGCCCGACUCCUACGGGAGGCAGCAGGGGGGAAUAUUGGACAAUGGGCGCAAGCCUGAUCCAGCCAUACCGCGUGGGUGAAGAAGGCCUUCGGGUUGUAAAGCCCUUUUGUUGGGAAAGAAAAGCAGCAGGUUAAUACCCCGCUGUUCUGACGGUACCCAAAGAAUAAGCACCGGCCAACUUCGUG
Molecule: ribosomal RNA, 492 nt
Filed under: uncultured bacterium
Lineage: Bacteria
Description: partial 16S ribosomal RNA
Rfam family: Bacterial small subunit ribosomal RNA
Source: RNAcentral